GGGUUGUGAGGUUAAGCGACUAAGCGUACACGGUGGAUGCCCUGGCAGUCAGAGGCGAUGAAGGGCGUGCUAAUCUGCGAUAAGCGCCGGUAAGGUGAUAUGAACCGUUAUAACCGGCGAUACCCGAAUGGGGAAACCCAGUGUGAUUCGUCACACUAUCAUUAACUGAAUCCAUAGGUUAAUGAGGCGAACCGGGGGAACUGAAACAUCUAAGUACCCCGAGGAAAAGAAAUCAACCGAGAUUCCCCCAGUAGCGGCGAGCGAACGGGGAGGAGCCCAGAGCCUGAAUCAGCAUGUGUGUUAGUGGAAGCGUCUGGAAAGGCGCGCGAUACAGGGUGACAGCCCCGUACACAAAAGCGCAUAUGCUGUGAGCUCGAUGAGUAGGGCGGGACACGUGGUAUCCUGUCUGAAUAUGGGGGGACCAUCCUCCAAGGCUAAAUACUCCUGACUGACCGAUAGUGAACCAGUACCGUGAGGGAAAGGCGAAAAGAACCCCGGCGAGGGGAGUGAAAAAGAACCUGAAACCGUGUACGUACAAGCAGUGGGAGCCCCACCACUAAGCCAGUGGUGAACUCCACAUACGCAUCCUUUGCUGAGGAGACGGUUAACGGAGCGAAAGCGACGUUCAACCUCAAAAGAAGCAGAGGGGGCUUAGUGGUGGGGUGACUGCGUACCUUUUGUAUAAUGGGUCAGCGACUUAUAUUCUGUAGCAAGGUUAACUGUAUAGGGGAGCCGGAGGGAAACCGAGUCUUAACCGGGCGUUAAGUUGCAGGGUAUAGACCCGAAACCCGGUGAUCUAGCCAUGGGCAGGUUGAAGGUUGGGUAACACUAACUGGAGGACCGAACCGACUAAUGUUGAAAAAUUAGCGGAUGACCUGUGGCUGGGGGUGAAAGGCCAAUCAAACCGGGAGAUAGCUGGUUCUCCCCGAAAGCUAUUUAGGUAGCGCCUCGUGAAUUCAUCUCCGGGGGUAGAGCACUGUUUCGGCUAGGG
Molecule: ribosomal RNA, 991 nt
Filed under: Salmonella enterica subsp. enterica serovar Typhi str. CT18
Lineage: Bacteria; Pseudomonadati; Pseudomonadota; Gammaproteobacteria; Enterobacterales; Enterobacteriaceae
Description: partial 23S ribosomal RNA
Rfam family: Bacterial large subunit ribosomal RNA
Source: RNAcentral